Molecule: long non-coding RNA, 1045 nt
Organism: Bubalus bubalis (water buffalo)
Lineage: Eukaryota; Metazoa; Chordata; Mammalia; Artiodactyla; Bovidae
Exons: 2
Source: RefSeq, a predicted model, not a curated record
GACCCAGGGAUCAAACAUGGGUCUCCUGCAUCGCAGACAGAUUCAUUAUCAUCUGAUCUACCAGGGAAGACCUCCACUACUUUUGUUAGUAGAGGAGGUGCAACUCAGAAGGUGGAGACCUAGACUCAGAUCCAUCUGGUUGGCUGGGAUGCAAGGCUUUUAAAGGCAAAAAGGUAAAGAAGAAGACGUCUCUGUGAUUUCACCUUCCUUGAUAAGGCCUCAGCUGCAGACUUCCUGGCGCCGUCUUGUGAUUUGAGAUGUCUUUGGUGAUUGCAACUGAUCUAUGUAUGCCUGCAAAGCCAAUUAGUAAAUCAUGGUCUUGUGAUGUAGCAACUUCUUUCCAGGAGAGAGCAGAAGCCAUGGCUGAGGCAUUUUAUUAUUUACUUAGAGCUUCUGAUUCAGAAGCUUCAGUUCUUAAUUGAUCCUCCUGGUGCCAUCAAUUUCAAGUCCGCUUGGGGCAGCCGGUUAAAGCCACAGGAUGCAGUCUCUGCAGUGUGGGGUCAUAAAUCAAGACAUUAGUUUAAGUUAACUUUGUUGGGCUUGUUUUCCUUUGUUUCUGCUUUCCCUCACUUCCCUAGCUGGAACUGCUUAUAUCUGCUCUUUGGAACUUAGAGAAAGGUCUAGGAGUCUAAAACCAUUACCUACAAACAAGAAACAGGGGACAUGGAGAGGUUUUCCUACCUGGGAGGAUCCCACAGGGUCCUGCUCGGUUUCAAUCCCACAGUGAUAUCUUAGGCAGGCUGGAUCUUUUCUAGUCUUCUUUGACUCAAUCCAAUUUUGUUUCAUACUGGUUUGAAUCUUAUCUUCUCUGUUUUUCCCCAAGCACAGCUCGAGCUGAGACCCCAUCUGCUUGUGUUGAGUGGGAAUGGGAACAUCCGUUUCUCUUUCCUCUUCCUCCAGCGUCCUGGCAUGGGAGAGAGGGGACUGGGGAUAUCUCACUAUUCUCCUGGUGGCGUGCAUAGACCUAGGUGGAGGGUUGCUGUUGUGAUCGUGGCUGGUUACAGUAGGGCUGGUGUUUCCACCUUUUGGUCAACUUUUCAGGUAA